GGCUCUCACUCAAUCUCUCUCUAUACUCUCUUUUCCUCCAUUGAUGUUCAUUGAAGAAAGCUUAGAGAAGCUUCAUCAAACACUACUAUGAGAUAAUCCACCAUCCAAUCCAAUCAAAUACUAUCAUAUCUCAUCAAAUUCAAGAAGCUAGAGCUAAGAUCAAAGUUGGAGCAAAGUCUUGAUCACCUUUUAGAUCCUUGAGUAAGUGAUCUUAGAUUAUUUAUUUGAUCAUAUUAAUGAUAUGUGAGUGAGUAUAUGAUCAUGAUUGAGCAAGGAAAUCAUAUAUGAUCAUGAUUGAGCAAGGAAAUCACCCAACUUAUUUUUAUGAAACUUUCGAAAAUUAGGAGCUUGAAACCCUACGAAUUUUGUUGUUUAUUUUCUUGACUUGGCUUGAGUUAUAUGAUGAUGGAUUUGAGUUUAUGAGAUGAUCUAGAUGAUUAAUGAUGGAUGAGAUUGAAGCUUGAGGUUGAGAAGUGAAAAAUGAAAAAUGUUAGUUUGAGGAAGAAGAUGAUAUAUAUGUGUUUCUAUAUGUGAUUUUGUUAUAUGAUGUUGAUUUGAGUGAGUUCUUGAGCAUGCUAUGAUGUUAAGUGAUGGUUUAGAUUGAUGAUUAGAAGUGAUGAAAUGAGUUUUGGGAUGAGUUGUUGUUGAGAAUUAUGAUGUUAUAUUCAAGUUAGAGAUAUUAUUAAGAUAUAUUAGUUUUAAAUACUAAAUUGGAGAAUUUCGUAGGCCUACUGACCUACUGUGAUCGAUGGUUUGUCGAUGUCUAAUAGUUUUGAAAAUUUUAUAGCAAGUUUCUACAUGAGUCUUGAGUACCCUGGUAAAAUUUCAAGCUAUUUCAACUUCGUUUGAUAUUUCUUUAAAAUGCAAAACCUAAACUGCACAUUAUUACCGAGAAUUUCAGAGAACAGGGGAACGAGUUAUUCAUUUAAGUAGCUUCCUAUGUGAUCUAGCUUUCCAACUUUUUAUGGUAUCUAACCUUAUUGUGUUAGCUAGAUAUCCACCAAAGUUGAGCCCAGUUUGACAACGUUUACUAUUUUUCAAAAAUUGUAACCUUCGGUUGCACAAAACUGCCAGAAAUGGUAGAUCGUGGUAAAAACGUCAUAUCUCUCAAACCACUUGGAGCUUUCGACUCUAUUUUUUUUAAAUGAAACUAGACUCGAAGAUAUUUCUUUCAGUAUGAGUCUCGAGUCCAGGAGAUGUCGGAGUCAGAACAGUUUAAAUUUGAAGUUGAACCAGUGUAAAAACAGAGCAUGUUUUAAUGAUGUUUGAUUGUGAUUCUUAUGUGCCUUAUGUGAUUGUGUUGCCUAUGUGUUUGAAUUUUCACUAAAUUAUUUUAGUGAAUUUAAAUCUCUUGAUUUAAAUUUUAAUAUUUAAGGUUGGGACUAUUUAUUUUAAAUGAGGUCCGUUCUUUUAUUUAAUUUAUUGAUGGACUUUAAAAAUGAAAACAAAUUUUGGGAUUAAACCCUCAUUUUUAUUAUAUUUCAAGGCUUUUUGAGUAUGGAUUUUAAAUGGUUAAAAUGUUUUAUUUCAUCUCAAUGGAUUUUAAAAUGUUUUAUUAUUUAUAAAUGAAUAAUGGAAUUUCUUANUGAUUUCUUUUAUGUUCAUAUGAACUUGUGAUUUUAAUGAUACUAAACUUGAGGAUUUUAUUUCUUUCUGUUUAUUGUUUACGUGAUUACGUGAUAUUAUGUGGUUAGUCACGAGGUUAUGUUGGUUUCGAUUGUCUUUAAUGGAACGAAUUAUGGAUGCUAGAACCCUAAAACACUAAAAGAAAAUCGAGUAAGGAUAUUGUUGGUGUCCUUAACUCAAGAAAUUUAGUUUUCAAGUAUUUAUUCAUUAAAUUUUGAAACCCGGCGUGACGAAUUAUAGAAUGUUAAGUAUUUUCCCUAAGAUAUUAAGUUAGCUUCACGAGACCUAUUAAGAAUAGAAUUUCUUGUAGGCUUUGUGAUGACCAGGAGGAUUAGCGCUACUUUUCCAAGACAGGUUUAUAUGUGUAUGAUCUUCAGGCUUUGCCUAUCCAGGUGGGCUUACUUUCCAAAUGUACAAAGUAUGAUUGAGUUAUUAAGCUCUAAAUGUUUCAAUGAAAUGCAAAUUGUUUAUUUAAUGUAAUGAAAACUGUUUAUCCAAUAAAAUGUUUAUGUGCACUCUGCUCUGUUUAAGGCUCGCCACAACGAAUCAAUUGAGGUUCUCUUAUAGCCUAACACGUUAUUUGAGAAUUGUGUACACCAUUAGCUGACUCGGUGGGUUGAUCUCCAUUCGGGCACUAACUAAGAGGCGUUAUAAGGGUGCUUGCUGGAUGUGUUCCGAAGCAUGUAAUGUAAGGGCCUGCCUGGGUAGCGUCCCGAGGUCAAUUCAACUUGUCUGAGUUACGUCCUCUGGGCAAGUGCAAUGGGAGAAAUGGAUCCGUCGGUGGCUAAGAGGUCCGGGAUCACAGCGAGUAACAGAAAGGGAGUGUGACAUGUGCGCACAAAUGAAAAAUGUUUUAACAUGCUUAGAAGUUCUUUCAAUUUAAAACCUUCUAAGUCAUGUCAAGUAUGAUUGGAUAAACUGUCUUUAAGAAAAUAUGAAAUGUUUAUGAAAAUGCAUGCCCACUAAGUACAUUAGUACUUAGCCCAAAAAUACUUUCAAAUGUUUUCAGGUUGGUUGGACGGUGCUGACGGG
Molecule: long non-coding RNA, 2658 nt
Filed under: Salvia miltiorrhiza (redroot sage)
Lineage: Eukaryota; Viridiplantae; Streptophyta; Magnoliopsida; Lamiales; Lamiaceae
Description: long non-coding RNA (SMIL_LNC010394)
Source: RNAcentral